Molecule: ribosomal RNA, 311 nt
Filed under: uncultured Bulleidia sp.
Lineage: Bacteria; Bacillati; Bacillota; Erysipelotrichia; Erysipelotrichales; Erysipelotrichaceae
Description: bacterial SSU rRNA
Rfam family: Bacterial small subunit ribosomal RNA
Source: RNAcentral
GAUGAACGCUGGCGGCGUGCCUAAUACAUGCAAGUCGAACGCUGGAGAUCUAGCUUGCUAGAUCGAAGGAGUGGCGAACGGGUGAGUAAUACAUAAGCAACCUACCCACGAAGACUGGGAUAAUCUCUGGAAACGGGGACUAAUACCGGAUAGGUAAUCGGAAGGCAUCUUCUGGUUAUUAAAGGUUACAAACACUGGUGGAUGGGCUUAUGGCGCAUUAGUUAGUUGGUGAGGUAACGGCCCACCAAGACGAUGAUGCGUAGCCGGCCUGAGAGGGUGAACGGCCACAUUGGGACUGAGACACGGCCCAG